Molecule: ribosomal RNA, 465 nt
Filed under: Vreelandella stevensii
Lineage: Bacteria; Pseudomonadati; Pseudomonadota; Gammaproteobacteria; Oceanospirillales; Halomonadaceae
Description: partial 16S ribosomal RNA
Rfam family: Bacterial small subunit ribosomal RNA
Source: RNAcentral
CCUACGGGAGGCUGCAGUGGGGAAUAUUGGACAAUGGGCGAAAGCCUGAUCCAGCCAUGCCGCGUGUGUGAAGAAGGCCUUCGGGUUGUAAAGCACUUUCAGUGGGGAAGAAAGCCUUGGGGCUAAUACCCUCGAGGAAGGACAUCACCCACAGAAGAAGCACCGGCUAACUCCGUGCCAGCAGCCGCGGUAAUACGGAGGGUGCGAGCGUUAAUCGGAAUUACUGGGCGUAAAGCGCGCGUAGGCGGUCUGAUAAGCCGGUUGUGAAAGCCCCGGGCUCAACCUGGGAACGGCAUCCGGAACUGUCAGGCUAGAGUGCCGGAGAGGAAGGUAGAAUUCCCGGUGUAGCGGUGAAAUGCGUAGAGAUCGGGAGGAAUACCAGUGGCGAAGGCGGCCUUCUGGACUGACACUGACACUGAGGUGCGAAAGCGUGGGUAGCAAACAGGAUUAGAUACCCGAGUAGUC